AUUUUUUUAGUAUAUAAUAGUAUAUCUGACUUCCAAUCAGAAGGUCUAAAUAAUUUAGAAAAAAUA
This 66-nucleotide transfer RNA is filed under the name Cristarma eulimene. RNAcentral describes it as "Chiromantes eulimene tRNA-Gly". The record is from RNAcentral. Lineage: Eukaryota; Metazoa; Arthropoda; Malacostraca; Decapoda; Sesarmidae.